UUUGCACAUUAGGCCUGGGGCGYGUCCUACCCURUGACUCUGUCUCAUUGUUAUUCAGUGUGCAUAAAGUUAGUUCAGCUUGUCGCCUUUCKUGACUGUACAAAGUGUCACUGAAAGUGAAUCAAGAUGAUACAAGU
Exaiptasia diaphana is the source of this 137-nucleotide small nucleolar RNA. RefSeq annotates it as small nucleolar RNA SNORA68. The transcript has a single exon. The record is from RefSeq and is a predicted model, not a curated record. NCBI's taxonomy places the organism in Eukaryota, Metazoa, Cnidaria, Anthozoa, Actiniaria, Aiptasiidae.